RNAcentral lists this ribosomal RNA (403 nucleotides) under uncultured prokaryote. RNAcentral describes it as "bacterial SSU rRNA". It matches the Rfam family "Bacterial small subunit ribosomal RNA", at positions 355 to 774 of the family's 1533-position model. The record is from RNAcentral.
UAGGGGAUAUUGGUGAAUGGGCGAAAGCCCGAACCAGCAACGCCGCGUGUGCGAAGAAGGCCUUCGGGUCGUAAAGCACUUUUACUCGGGAAGAGGAAGGACGGUACCGGGGGAAGAAGCCUCGGCUAACUACGUGCCAGCAGCCGCGGUAAAACGUAGGAGGCGAGCGUUAUCCGGAAUUACUGGGUGUAAAGGGCGAGCAGGCGGUUGGAUAAGUUGGGUGUGAAAUCCCCGGGCUUAACUCGGGAGUUGCAUUUAAAACUGUCAGACUAGAGUGCAGGAGAGGAAAGCGUAAUUCCUAGUGUAGCGGUGAAAUGCGUAGAUAUUAGGAGGAACACCAGUGGCGAAGGCGGCUUUCUGGACUGUAACUGACGCUGAGGCACGAAAGCGUGGGGAGCGAACA